RNAcentral lists this unclassified non-coding RNA (205 nucleotides) under plant metagenome. RNAcentral's name for it is "partial contains small subunit ribosomal RNA, internal transcribed spacer 1, and 5.8S ribosomal RNA". The record is from RNAcentral.
GUAGGUGAACCUGCGGAAGGAUCAUUACAGAGUUCAUGCCCUCACGGGUAGAUCUCCCACCCUUGAAUAUAUUACCUUUGUUGCUUUGGCGGGCCGCUUCGUCCACCGGCUUUGGCUGGUGAGUGCCCGCCAGAGGACCUAAAAUUCUGAGUUACAGUGUCGUCUGAGUACUAUAUAAUAGUUAAAACUUUCAACAACGGAUCUC